AAGUCGUAACAAGGUAUCUGUAGGUGAACCUGCAGAUGGAUCAUCAUUGAUUACCACUUGCACAGAUGUCCGGCCUCCGGGUCGCGACAGCUGGGCGCCAGGUGUGGCUCCGCACCUGUCCAACUAAACCGGGCUACCAUUUUUAACACUGUUGGAUGGGUUGGCUGUCAAGUAGCGCAAGCUACGCGGCGUCAACAAAUUUAACACACACUAAUGAUAUUUAGGAUUUGAAUGUCAACUGAUGAACGGCUGGUAAUGCGGUCGUAAAAUCAAAAAAUAACUUUUGGCAACGGAUCUCUUGGUUCUCC
This 308-nucleotide unclassified non-coding RNA is filed under the name fungal sp. RNAcentral describes it as "partial internal transcribed spacer region". The stretch from base 1 to 46 matches the Rfam family "Eukaryotic small subunit ribosomal RNA", at positions 1786 to 1831 of the family's 1831-position model. Lineage: Eukaryota; Fungi. The record is from RNAcentral.